Molecule: long non-coding RNA, 436 nt
Filed under: Vitis vinifera (wine grape)
Lineage: Eukaryota; Viridiplantae; Streptophyta; Magnoliopsida; Vitales; Vitaceae
Description: long non-coding RNA (VVIN_LNC001511)
Source: RNAcentral
GAAGUAUCAAAAUUGUUGAGAGGUUGGUUUGGAUGUGUUCACCAAUGAGUCAAAGUCCUUGCAUUUUGGAUGAUAGUUAAAAUUUUCAGGUAAAUUAAUUAAGGACAUUUCAAAGUUUGGUAAACCAUAUUAUUCAUAGUCUCUUUCAUGUAUCACAUCAAUUCAAUUUCAUAGAAAUAUCAAAAUUGUUGAGAGGUUUGUUUGGAUGUGUUCACCAAUGAGUCAAAGUCCUUGCAUUUUGGAUGAUAGUUAAGACUUUCAGGUAAACUAAUAUUAUUCAUAGUCUCUUUCAUGUAUCACAUUAAUUCAAGUUCAUAGAAAUAUAAAAAUUGUUGAGAGGUUUGUUUGGAUGUGUUCACCAAUGAGUCAAAGUCCUUGCAUUUUGGAUGAUGGUUAAGAUUUUUAGGUAAACUAAUUAGUGACAUUUCAAAGGUUG